This 1368-nucleotide long non-coding RNA is filed under the name Rattus norvegicus (Norway rat). RNAcentral's name for it is "long non-coding RNA NONRATT017687". The record is from RNAcentral. Lineage: Eukaryota; Metazoa; Chordata; Mammalia; Rodentia; Muridae.
UGAGUCCAUGUGGCCGAUCGAAGCCAGAAACGCAGCCAUCGCUAAUCACUGCUUCACCUGUGCCCUCAACCGUGUGGGUCAGGAACACUACCCCAAUGAGUUUACUUCUGGAGAUGGAAAGAAAGGUAUGGACUUUCCUGUUGGUGGGCCUCAUCGUCCCCCAUUCUACCUACUUCCUCUGGGCAGGGUCUCCUCCACAGCCUGGUCCCUCUCCUUGGGCACCAAGGAAGGAGCCCUGACUCUUCCGUUUCUUUGCAUGUACUGUGGGAGUCUGUGGCUGGGGUGUGGAUCCUUCAUGGGGGACCACCUUGUUCCCUAAAUGGGCAUCAGAUGGGAAUGGACUGGUCUCUCUGCCUCCUCAGGACUAUAUGAAACUGGACCAUGAAGAUGUGGGAACCCCUCUGUGAGCUCUCUGGAAGAGGCAGGGGAACUCACACAUCUUAUUUCUUCCUUCCCCACCUAUCUAGCUGUCCUGAUGAUGUCCCCAGAGUCAGCACAGAUUGUCAUAGGUCCUGGGGUCCUCAGGUGGUUGUGAUCUGAAGGCAGCAACACACACACACACACACACACACGCACGCACGCACGCACACACACACACACACACACACACACACACACACCUCUGCUAGAAGUCCUCCACUCCGAGGUCCCACCUCUCUAGCCAAGAACGUGAGAGGAAAGAGCUUCUUCGCUCACAAGGCUGUCCCUGGCUGGGUGAGUCCCCCUCAGGAAGAUCUAGGAGGAUGAACAGAUCCCACUCUCUGAAGUCCCAGAUGGCACCUCACACUUGCAGAGCUUCCAGUCCCACAGGCCUUCUGAUGACAGACGGACAGGCGUGGGAAAGGCGGUGGUGAGCCCAUCUUAGAGGGGCCACCUCACUCCGCUGUGGUAGCUGGUCAAGGGCUCAGGCACGCAGAAGAGCGUUAAGUCUAUCAGCUCCAGGAAAAGAAGGACGGACCGUACGGUUCACGGGCAGACCUACCACAGGAAGUGGGACACAUGGACCAUCCCCAGAGGCAGACUCUCCUUGGGUUUGGGCAGCUUCUGUUGAAGAUGAAAGGCUAGCCCACCUAAAGCGUGCCAUCUAGACACGUUCUCAGGGGCAGCGGGGAGUGACUGACGUGAAAGCGAAGUUCUGCCUCCCUGCCUAGGACCUUCAGGCCUGAGGGAGGCAGACUGGAAGUUGGCAGACAUGGGGUUGGUAACGAAUGCUUUCUCCCACGUGUCCUGCCCCGUGCCUGUCCGCCUUUCUUCGGAGCCCACCCUGUGUACAACCUCACAGCUACUUCCCUUCGCUCCUUAAAGCUCACCAUGACCUCGGCUACUUCUACGGUUCGAGCUACGUGGCAGCUCCUGACGGUAGCCGGA